This 525-nucleotide ribosomal RNA is filed under the name Rhodotorula mucilaginosa. RNAcentral's name for it is "partial large subunit ribosomal RNA". It matches the Rfam family "Eukaryotic large subunit ribosomal RNA", at positions 120 to 660 of the family's 3401-position model. The record is from RNAcentral. Lineage: Eukaryota; Fungi; Basidiomycota; Microbotryomycetes; Sporidiobolales; Sporidiobolaceae.
AUCUGGCACCUUCGGUGUCCGAGUUGUAAUCUCUAGAAAUGUUUUCCGCGUUGGACCGCACACAAGUCUGUUGGAAUACAGCGGCAUAGUGGUGAGACCCCCGUAUAUGGUGCGGACGCCCAGCGCUUUGUGAUACAUUUUCGAAGAGUCGAGUUGUUUGGGAAUGCAGCUCAAAUUGGGUGGUAAAUUCCAUCUAAAGCUAAAUAUUGGCGAGAGACCGAUAGCGAACAAGUACCGUGAGGGAAAGAUGAAAAGCACUUUGGAAAGAGAGUUAACAGUACGUGAAAUUGUUGGAAGGGAAACGCUUGAAGUCAGACUUGCUUGCCGAGCAAUCGGUUUGCAGGCCAGCAUCAGUUUUCCGGGAUGGAUAAUGGUAGAGAGAAGGUAGCAGUUUCGGCUGUGUUAUAGCUCUCUGCUGGAUACAUCUUGGGGGACUGAGGAACGCAGUGUGCCUUUUGGCGGGGGUUUCGACCUCUUCACACUUAGGAUGCUGGUGGAAUGGCUUUAAACGACCCGUCUUGAAAC